AAAAACAUUACAUGCAUGAAGAUAAGUGGAGAGCCAAAGACAAGACAUCUAUUAUAUCAUCUUAUUCAUUUAUUUUAGAUGGAGAAUAAUACAAUACUUAGCUUAAGCGAAUUAAAUUAACUUUAUGCAUAUAAAAAAUCACCUAUUUAUUUAUUAACUUUGAUAAUGGAUUGUGUUAACUCUAGUAAUUAAGUGGAUGACCCACUAACAUAAUAU
RNAcentral lists this long non-coding RNA (216 nucleotides) under Carica papaya (papaya). RNAcentral describes it as "long non-coding RNA (CPAP_LNC003618)". Lineage: Eukaryota; Viridiplantae; Streptophyta; Magnoliopsida; Brassicales; Caricaceae. The record is from RNAcentral.